This 253-nucleotide ribosomal RNA is filed under the name uncultured bacterium. RNAcentral's name for it is "partial 16S ribosomal RNA". It matches the Rfam family "Bacterial small subunit ribosomal RNA", at positions 524 to 776 of the family's 1533-position model. The record is from RNAcentral.
UACAGAGGGUGCGAGCGUUGUCCGGAAUCACUGGGCGUAAAGGGCGCGUAGGCGGCUUGAUAAGGUUGCGGUGAAAGCCCGGGGCUCAACCCCGGGUCGGCCGUGGCAACUGUCGAGCUGGAGCACUGUAGAGGCAGGUGGAAUUCCGGGUGUAGCGGUGGAAUGCGUAGAUAUCAGGAGGAACACCGGUGGCGAAGGCGGCUACCUGGACAGAAACUGACGCUGAGGCGCGAAAGCUAGGGGAGCAAACAGG